GGAAAAGACCAAUUGACCACAUUUUGUCAACAAAUUCAAUUCCAUACAACAUGGUUGCAAAGGAGGUUGGAAAUGGAGAGACAGUAAAAGACCAAAUCCAAAUACUGUUGUUGGAGCCAUGGUUGGCGGCCCUGACCAGCAUGAUGGUUUCCAAGAUAUCCGUUCCAACUACAAUUACACUAAGCCAACGAUUGUAGGAAAUACUGGUCUUGUUGCUGCGCUUGUGGCUUUGUCCAGUGGAAGGACUUCAAAAAUUGACAAGAAUACAAUAUUUAAUGCAAUUCCUCCAUUGUACACACUUGAACCACCAUACAAAGAACUCUGAAAUAAGCAGCCAAAAAUAAAAGCACAGAAAAGAAAACAGAGAAUUAUCUAAUUGCAAAGCAUUCUGCAUGCCCAAAAAUAAAAUUUAUCCUUGCAUUUUAAACCAAAUAAUUAACUUAUUACACUAAAAAUUAGCUGAAUUACCUUAGGAACAGUGAAGCAGCUACUCAAGUAUACUCAAAUAUUGAAACAAAUAAGCAAGAACAGAAACUUUAAAAUGUAAAAAGUAGAAACCGUUUAAGAAAACUGAAAAAAUGCAUUCACUAUUCAACAAAUAACACAUAUUUCAAUAACUAAGAUACUCAAAUAGAGAAGAAGCUCAC
Molecule: unclassified non-coding RNA, 647 nt
Filed under: Hevea brasiliensis (rubber tree)
Lineage: Eukaryota; Viridiplantae; Streptophyta; Magnoliopsida; Malpighiales; Euphorbiaceae
Source: RNAcentral